This 209-nucleotide long non-coding RNA is filed under the name Mytilus galloprovincialis (Mediterranean mussel). Lineage: Eukaryota; Metazoa; Mollusca; Bivalvia; Mytilida; Mytilidae. The record is from RNAcentral.
CACAAAUGUACAGGUUUAUAAGCUGUUUUAUUGUCCUUUCCUAUACCUUGAUCAUCCUUCUAAGUCUCUCCGUAUUUCUCGUGUUACGGCUUUAUAACGAGAGCAGGCAUUAUCAGUGACGUCAUAAUGUCUAAAUAGAAGUUGAAAGCGACGUCGCAAUGUGUGAGGAGACGUUACCAAGCUUGCUUUUGUCAAGUGUAAAACUGUCU